GGCGAACGCUGGCGUCCUGGCCUUUAAACAUGCAAGUCGAACGGAUCCUUCGGGAUUAGUGGCGGACGGUGAGUAACACGUGGGAACGUGCCCUUUGGUUCGGAACAACUCAGUGGAAACUUGAGCUAAUACCGGAUGUGCCCUUCGGGGGAAAGAUUUAUCGCCAUUGGAGCGGCCCGCGUCUGAUUAGCUAGUUGGUGGGGUAAAGGCCCACCAAGGCGACGAUCAGUAGCUGGUCUGAGAGGAUGAUCAGCCACAUUGGGACUGAGACACGGCCCAAACUCCUACGGGAGGCAGCAGUGGGGAAUCUUGCGCAAUGGGCGAAAGCCUGACGCAGCCAUGCCGCGUGAAUGAUGAAGGUCUUAGGAUUGUAAAAUUCUUUCACCGGGGACGAUAAUGACGGUACCCGGAGAAGAAGCCCCGGCUAACUUCGUGCCAGCAGGCGCGGUAAUACGAAGGGGGCUAGCGUUGCUCGGAAUUACUGGGCGUAAAGGGAGCGUAUGCGGACUGUUACGUUAGAGGUGAAAGCCCAGGGGCUCAACCUUGAGAAUUGCCUUUGAUACUGGCAGUUUGAGUAGGAAGAGUAUGGGACUCC
RNAcentral lists this ribosomal RNA (595 nucleotides) under uncultured Caulobacter sp. RNAcentral's name for it is "bacterial SSU rRNA". It matches the Rfam family "Bacterial small subunit ribosomal RNA", at positions 28 to 670 of the family's 1533-position model. Lineage: Bacteria; Pseudomonadati; Pseudomonadota; Alphaproteobacteria; Caulobacterales; Caulobacteraceae. The record is from RNAcentral.